This 427-nucleotide ribosomal RNA is filed under the name uncultured bacterium. RNAcentral describes it as "partial 16S ribosomal RNA". It matches the Rfam family "Bacterial small subunit ribosomal RNA", at positions 355 to 774 of the family's 1533-position model. The record is from RNAcentral.
UGGGGAAUAUUGGACAAUGGGCGAAAGCCUGAUCCAGCCAUGCCGCGUGUGUGAAGAAGGUCUUCGGAUUGUAAAGCACUUUAAGUUGGGAGGAAGGGCAUUAACCUAAUACGUUAGUGUUUUGACGUUACCGACAGAAUAAGCACCGGCUAACUCUGUGCCAGCAGCCGCGGUAAUACAGAGGGUGCAAGCGUUAAUCGGAAUUACUGGGCGUAAAGCGCGCGUAGGUGGUUUGUUAAGUUGGAUGUGAAAUCCCCGGGCUCAACCUGGGAACUGCAUUCAAAACUGACUGACUAGAGUAUGGUAGAGGGUGGUGGAAUUUCCUGUGUAGCGGUGAAAUGCGUAGAUAUAGGAAGGAACACCAGCGGCGAAGGCGACCACCUGGACUAAUACUGACACUGAGGUGCGAAAGCGUGGGGAGCAAACA